UGUAUAGCAGUUUAUUCCUUUAAUAGUGUUAUUCUUUUCUCUUUUUAGAAAGGAAUUCAUUACAAUGAGCUUGGAAAGUACAGUCUACUGUAUUAUACAUUUCAUUAUUCACAGGGACAAAAAAAGAAGGAUCUUUCCACACAAGAUUAAUACUUCAGCUGAAUACCAGAAGAGUUGACCGUGUGCUGGAUGGGGGCCAUCCAUCAGCAAUUUAACAUCUGUGAUCUAGCUACGGGGAAAGAAAGAAGGAAGAAAGGAACGCUUCACGAAUUUGCGAAGGAAGAAAGGAAGGAAACAAGCAAAGAACAAGAAAAUCACUUGGAUGGUUCUUACAUUGCACCUAAGACCAAUAUAUUGGAGUUCCUUGUUGGUGGACAACUCUGGAGACUGAUCCCCAGCCAUUUGACUUCCUGGGUAUCUGAAUCAGACCUGUCAUGUGGGACUUAAUGCUAUGGUAUAUUCAAGCACUGUGCUUUUUGAAGAAAGAUGCUACUUUCACUUUAACACUGACCUGCAACAUACCUGUGGCAAUAUUCUUCUGGAGAGAUCUCCAGGGGUAAACUACAAGAACUGGAACUACUUGUUUGUUCUGAUAGUCUGAUUAUUCUAUGGGGGUGCUUUGUACCAAACCCCUCUGCAUUUGAGUGACCACCGGGCUGAGUGAGAUCUGCACAAUCAACUCUUCUCUAGGAUAUAUUUCCACAUCUCCACCGGGGCCAGACUUGGUCCCAGUACAUUAACUCCUAUAGCAGUUGCCUCCUCUUGCUAUUCUUUCUGAAUCCCAGGAACUAACAGUGCUCAGACACUUUAAACACUCUCUUAAUUAUAGCAUGUUGUGCACCUCACUAACAGCAAGACCACAGUAUAUAAUUAAAGUAAAAAUAUAUAAACUAUUUGAUGUUGUCAGUAUCUCUAGCUCAAUGUGAAAUUAUACUAGGAACAGAAGACUGUUGUCUGAAAAUCCAUUUUAUUGUCAUUUUUAUGGCUAUGUUAGAUAAUAAAAUCAAGAGAGAGAUGACUGGAAUAACAAUAGCAUCUCAUCCUAGGAAAAAAGGGAAGGAGGGUGUAGUAAUACAGAGAUUGAUGUAUGAAGCCUCUUGUCUAAGUAAACAAUCUACAUACAUUUGCAUUUGCAUGGAAUCAUUGUUAUAAAAUGUUGUCUUCAUUAAAGUGAGGAUCUGAUGAUAUAUGUUAUUUCCCCACUCUGGUCCAGCUGCCUCUUUAAAAUCAGAACUCAGGAUUCUUAAGCAUAUCUAAGCAAUCUAGGUUCUAUCUGUUUGACUGUUAUUUCAAGUGACAGAGAAUGGGAGGUUGACAUUAAUGAGAGUUAAAUGCCCAGAUCAAGGGAGAAUAAGUCCCAAUUAUGUUUUAUUGGAAUAAAUAAGGGAACCGGUCACCAUAUGGUAAAUCAGAAAAUAUGCUCAUGCUAAUAGCAACUUUUGGAAGACACAUCAGAGGGCCAUGCUCUGCCUCAGCCUUAUGUUUCAUCCUAAACUGUCCCCCCACUACAUGAGAUGGGCAGACCCCUACACUUUUGAGAAUGUUCAUUGCCCAGAUAGGAGGAGGCAGAACCACUCACCCCACUAACCAGUCAGCAGAGAUGGUUGGACACAUGGAAGGCAGUAUGUUGCAUCUCCUAGGAAAGCUACUGUCCUGGGGUAGUGUGCAUCUACUCCUUCCUGUGAAAAAUCAGCUCUUGAAUCGGAAGACUGCUUUCUAAUAAGCAAUAUGAAAUCUGGAUUACCCUGCUAUUUCUGGAGAUGGAUCCAGCACAGAUUUGGACUUUGAUUCCAUCUUUAUGCAUCAGUACCACAUUCAGAGGGUUUCAGAUCCUGGGUUUUGGUUAAGCUCAGUACAUAGGAAGAGGGGGUCAUUAGGAAAUUCUAGGUCUAGAACCAGUUUUUGAUCCUGCCCCAUUGAGUUCAACAGGAGGUCAAACUGAGGGCUUGGGUGUUAUCAUUGCCAUCUAUUACCAUCCUACUACCCGCAUAUAAAGAGCCGUAAUUCUAUCAACAGAUAAAAGACAAGCUUUGUACUAUGUAUAUGUGUAUAUUAUGCAAGAUUUCACUUGCUAGGAUUGUAUAUUAGCAUACACAGUUAAAAGAGCUAGCUCAUUUAUCUCAGUGAAUAAAAUGAGCAUCCCAUCACCCUCCCAAGCUCUCUUUCAAAAUAUGUAGCUUUUUACGAAUGAAUAGUAUAGUUAAUUCAAAAUGUACAUCAGUAAAAUCUACUCUUCUUAAUACAGUGCUAUUUAUGUUGCAAAGCCAAACAGUCCAGAGAGAUAUAAUGAGCCAGAUAUUCAGUGGUGUUUUCAAAACAACAUUUUUUCUUAAAUAAAGAAAAAUUAUUUGAAUGCAAGGCUCUAAACAACCAAACAACCUUGCAAAAUGAAUGCAGUAAUGAGGCAUCUGGGAGAGGGAAUCAUGGACUGAUGGCUUUCAGAAAAAGCCUAGAUGCUUUUCAGAUUUUCAAAGAAAAAUAAACCGAUGACAAAAGAAUAGCAGCUGUGGACACACUAAGGAAAUUAGUUGGAGCAGACUUGCAAUUAAGCAUUGGAAACUGAUCAAAAAAAUUAUCCCUUUCGUUUAUACCAUGGAUUCUAUCUACCACAAAAUCAAUUAAAAAAAAAACAAACUAUACAUGCUGUCUUGGUUUCACACAUGAAUGUAUCCCCUCAAAUCUUUGGAAAAUGCAGAAGGGUGUACAAGUAUGUUUGUCUUUUCAAUCAAAUAUGCAAAGUAAAAACCGGAAAAAACUGAGAUUGAAAGGGGAAAAGAGAAAUUGGGAGUGAAGUUUGGCAGAAUAAUUUACUCUCAGUCACAUUUUUCUAAAGAAAAUGUUUGUGCAAUGAGAUAAGCAGCUGUGGGUUUCUUUUGGUGCGUGUGGAUGAAUUUUUUCCUUUUUCCUGUGUAACACUCUCAGAACAAACACGACAAACUGAUGUUCAUUCUUUUUUUAACCAUAAUUUAAAAACAAUAAAGAAAACUUUAGAAAAUGAGAACUUUGUAGGCAAUUGUAUAUAAAAAGGUCAGACACAUCUUUGUCGGUUGAAAGU
Long non-coding RNA from Alligator mississippiensis (American alligator), 3055 nucleotides. RefSeq lists it as uncharacterized. NCBI's taxonomy places the organism in Eukaryota, Metazoa, Chordata, Crocodylia, Alligatoridae. The transcript has 3 exons. The record is from RefSeq and is a predicted model, not a curated record.